This 662-nucleotide long non-coding RNA is filed under the name Homo sapiens (human). Its description in RNAcentral is "HSALNT0085603". The record is from RNAcentral. Lineage: Eukaryota; Metazoa; Chordata; Mammalia; Primates; Hominidae.
GCUGACUGGAAUUCUCUAUUCUCCUGGGACCACCCUGUAUUAUUUCUAUCUCACCACAGUCUUACUCAAGAAAAUACUGAUGCAAGGACAUCUGCCCAGCAAAUGCCUGUCCAAGCUUGGACUGGUGCCACCCUUGUUAUUGGUUCUUACAGCCAAAAAUAAGUGUCUCAAGAUAAUUAUGUAUCCUUUCCAUUUUUUCCUUAAAAAUCUAUGUCUUUCUUUACUUUCCUGAAUAUGCACAUAGUUUACAAUAGCAUGCAUAUUCCCAUUGCAAUGCCUAAUCCUGAAAAACAUUUAUUUAUCUUCUGGAGAGUCUCCCUCUCUCUUAUUUAGAUUGACGUAAUGAUGCCUCAGAAGUGCAACUGAAGUUGACUGACCUUGGACAAAUCAGCGUCCACUGGGAAUCCAGCACAAUGGUGACUGAGCCCUUUGUUCUCUCUGUUUCCAAGAGUCACAUUUCUGUCCUGUGAAUCUCGUCUAGAAUUCUCGGACUCCUUCCUCUUGGAUACAAAUGGAAACAUUGGUUAUAUCACCAAGACUUUGAUUAGAAUGUUAUAUUUGGGAAUAUGCAUAGACUGCCUAGCUUCAAGGGUUCUGAGCCUCACAGUGAGUGAAUAGAAAAUUGUGACCUCUUGGAAGUCCCAGGAACCUCAAGAUAUUAG